This 454-nucleotide ribosomal RNA is filed under the name uncultured organism. Its description in RNAcentral is "partial 16S ribosomal RNA". It matches the Rfam family "Bacterial small subunit ribosomal RNA", at positions 330 to 800 of the family's 1533-position model. The record is from RNAcentral.
CGUACACUCCUGCGGGAGGCAGCAGUGGGGAAUAUUGGACAAUGGGCGCAAGCCUGAUCCAGCCAUGCCGCGUGAGUGAUGAAGGCCCUAGGGUUGUAAAGCUCUUUCACCGGUGAAGAUAAUGACGGUAACCGGAGAAGAAGCCCCGGCUAACUUCGUGCCAGCAGCCGCGGUAAUACGAAGGGGGCUAGCGUUGUUCGGAUUUACUGGGCGUAAAGCGCACGUAGGCGGACUAUUAAGUCAGGGGUGAAAUCCCGGGGCUCAACCCCGGAACUGCCUUUGAUACUGGUAGUCUUGAGUUCGAGAGAGGUGAGUGGAAUUCCGAGUGUAGAGGUGAAAUUCGUAGAUAUUCGGAGGAACACCAGUGGCGAAGGCGGCUCACUGGCUCGAUACUGACGCUGAGGUGCGAAAGCGUGGGGAGCAAACAGGAUUAGAAACCCUGGUAGUCCCAUGA